RNAcentral lists this ribosomal RNA (778 nucleotides) under Aeromonas veronii. RNAcentral describes it as "partial 23S ribosomal RNA". It matches the Rfam family "Bacterial large subunit ribosomal RNA", at positions 2175 to 2925 of the family's 2925-position model. The record is from RNAcentral. Lineage: Bacteria; Pseudomonadati; Pseudomonadota; Gammaproteobacteria; Aeromonadales; Aeromonadaceae.
UUGCGCUGGAGCCGUCCUUGAAAUACCACCCUUGUAUGUUUGAUGUUCUAACGCAGGGCCCUGAAUCGGGCUCGCGGACAGUGCCUGGUGGGUAGUUUGACUGGGGCGGUCUCCUCCCAAAGAGUAACGGAGGAGCACGAAGGUUGGCUAAUCCUGGUCGGACAUCAGGAGGUUAGUGCAAUGGCAUAAGCCAGCUUAACUGCGAGACGGACAGGUCGAGCAGGUACGAAAGUAGGUCAUAGUGAUCCGGUGGUUCUGAAUGGAAGGGCCAUCGCUCAACGGAUAAAAGGUACUCCGGGGAUAACAGGCUGAUACCGCCCAAGAGUUCAUAUCGACGGCGGUGUUUGGCACCUCGAUGUCGGCUCAUCACAUCCUGGGGCUGAAGUCGGUCCCAAGGGUAUGGCUGUUCGCCAUUUAAAGUGGUACGCGAGCUGGGUUCAGAACGUCGUGAGACAGUUCGGUCCCUAUCUGCCGUGGGCGUUGGAUGAUUGAAGGGAGUUGCUCCUAGUACGAGAGGACCGGAGUGAACGAACCUCUGGUGUUCGGGUUGUCACGCCAGUGGCACUGCCCGGUAGCUAAGUUCGGAAUCGAUAACCGCUGAAAGCAUCUAAGCGGGAAGCGAGCCCUGAGAUGAGUCAUCCCUGACCCCUUGAGGGUCCUAAAGGGCCGUUGGAGACCACAACGUUGAUAGGUGGGGUGUGUAAGCGCGGCGACGUGUUGAGCUAACCCAUACUAAUUACCCGUGAGGCUUAACCAUACAACACCCAAGAAGUGUUCU